This 58-nucleotide microRNA precursor is filed under the name Callorhinchus milii (elephant shark). RNAcentral describes it as "Cmi-Mir-92-P1a_pre stem-loop". It matches the Rfam family "mir-92 microRNA precursor family", at positions 12 to 68 of the family's 80-position model. From Rfam's summary of the family: This family represents the microRNA precursor mir-92. Human miR-92 has two predicted hairpin precursor sequences: mir-92-1 on chromosome 13 and mir-92-2 on chromosome X. miR-92 has also been cloned from mouse embryonic stem cells. Lineage: Eukaryota; Metazoa; Chordata; Chondrichthyes; Chimaeriformes; Callorhinchidae. The record is from RNAcentral.
CGGUUGGGAUUUGUUGCAAUGCUGAUAAAUGCAUGGUAUUGCACUUGUCCCGGCCUGU